RNAcentral lists this long non-coding RNA (1037 nucleotides) under Equus asinus (donkey). RNAcentral describes it as "lncRNA (ENSEASG00005027036.1)". The record is from RNAcentral. Lineage: Eukaryota; Metazoa; Chordata; Mammalia; Perissodactyla; Equidae.
CUCAAGACAAGUCAACCAAGAGCAUGAACAAGCAGCAGAGAAAGACCAGGGGUCAGCAGGCGAGGACAGUGACCUGGCCCGGACAGGGCCGAAGAAGUCCCCGGCCCUUGUGCCCCGCCGCCCCGGACCAGGGACUCCGCGGCGACCCCCCUGCCCGCCCCGCGCCCGAGCCCAGGACCGGGGCAGGGAAAGAAGCGGGCGCCACGCGCGGGCAACUUGGAGACUUACCUUCCCGGAUGCGCUACACCAUCAAUGGAGGAAGAUUAGCUCUAAGCUAACAUCUGCUGCCAAUCCUCCUCUUUUUGCUGAGAAAGACUGGCCCUGAGCUAACAUCCGUGCCCAUCUUCCUCUGCUUUACGUGUGGGACACCUACCACAGCAUGGCUUGAUGAGCAGUGCCAUGUCUGCACCCGGGAUCUGAACCGGCGAACCCUGGGCCACAGAAGGGGAACAUGUGCACUUAACCACUGUGCCACCGGGCCACAACCUUUCUUAUAGAGAAAAUCCAAAAGGAGCAGACCACAAGCUACAGAAUGUUUGUGUUCUCUUAAUCAAUAAAAAUCCCAUAAGAAUGAUCCCUGAAACACAUCCCCCCGAAAGGCCAUCCACCAACCCCCAGAAGAGGCCCGUUACCUUCAAACUAACAGCCCAUUCUUACUGCACUCAAGGAGAAGAAGAGAAAACCAAGAAAAACCAUGAUGGGUCUUCGCUUUACACGGAAGCAACAUCUACCCCAUCUCACCUAGUAAUAUGCGACUAAUUUUAAUCCCAGGGUGGAAGAAAUAGCCUAGAGUUAGUGAGCCAGGGAGAGGUGACAAAGUGACUUUCUCCCAGGACAGAGAAACUUUGGGUAAGUUGAUUACCACAAAUAAAGGAAACAAGUUGCAGUCUCUAUAAUUAAGAAUAAAAUGGAGGACUCAAGAAAGUAAUCAAAGCAACAGGGUUAUAGAUUGUGGCCCUGAGAGGUUCAAGACAUAUGAACUAACACAUCCACGUGAUAGAGAAAACCAAGCUGAUAGUUACCCAGUUGUGUUUUAC